RNAcentral lists this transfer RNA (75 nucleotides) under Marmota monax (woodchuck). RNAcentral describes it as "tRNA.Ala". The record is from RNAcentral. Lineage: Eukaryota; Metazoa; Chordata; Mammalia; Rodentia; Sciuridae.
UGGGGAUAUAGCUCAGUGGCAGAGUGUAUGCUUAGCUUGUGCAAGGCCCUGGGUUCAACCCCCAGCAAUGCACAA